ACGGGGAUCAGGGUUCGAUUCCGGAGAGGGAGCCUGAGAAACGGCUCACCACAUCCAAGGAAGGCAGCAGGCGCGCAAAUUACCCAAUCCAGACAGUGGGAGGUGGUGACGAGAAGUACUAAAUGGUGGCCUAUGGCUGCCAGUUUGGAAUGAACGUAAUUUAAGCAAUUCAAUGAGGAACUACCGGGGGGGCAGUCCUGGUGCCAGCAGCCGCGGUAAUUCCAGCUCCAGUGGCGUGUCUUAAAGUUGCUGCGUUUAAAACGCUCGUAGUUGGAUCAUGCAGUACUUAUCAGU
RNAcentral lists this ribosomal RNA (294 nucleotides) under Myxobolus sp. 3 HS-2015. Its description in RNAcentral is "partial 18S ribosomal RNA". It matches the Rfam family "Eukaryotic small subunit ribosomal RNA", at positions 362 to 657 of the family's 1831-position model. The record is from RNAcentral. Lineage: Eukaryota; Metazoa; Cnidaria; Myxozoa; Bivalvulida; Myxobolidae.